ACGGGUGAGUAAUACAUCGGAACGUAUCCUGGAGUGGGGGAUAGCCCGGCGAAAGCCGGAUUAAUACCGCAUACGCUCUGAGGAGGAAAGCGGGGGACCUUCGGGCCUCGCGCUCAAGGGGCGGCCGAUGGCGGAUUAGGUAGUUGGUGGGGUAAAGGCCUACCAAGCCGACGAUCCGUAGCUGGUCUGAGAGGACGACCAGCCACACUGGGACUGAGACACGGCCCAGACUCCUACGGGAGGCAGCAGUGGGGAAUUUUGGACAAUGGGGGCAACCCUGAUCCAGCAAUGCCGCGUGUGUGAAGAAGGCCUUCGGGUUGUAAAGCACUUUUGUCCGGAAAGAAAUCAUCGGGGCCAAUACCCCUGGUGGAUGACGGUACCGGAAGAAUAAGCACCGGCUAACUACGUGCCAGCAGCCGCGGUAAUACGUAGGGUGCGAGCGUUAAUCGGAAUUACUGGGCGUAAAGCGUGCGCAGGCGGUGCUGUAAGACCGAUGUGAAAUCCCCGGGCUUAACCUGGGAACUGCAUUGGUGACUGCAGCGCUGGAGUAUGGCAGAGGGGGUUGGAAUUCCACGU
Molecule: ribosomal RNA, 576 nt
Filed under: uncultured bacterium
Lineage: Bacteria
Description: bacterial SSU rRNA
Rfam family: Bacterial small subunit ribosomal RNA
Source: RNAcentral